UGCCGCCAGCAGCAGCACAGAAGUAAGGGUGGCCUGGUAUGGUAUUGCCACCCUUACUUCUGUGCUGCUGCGGGCAGGG
This 79-nucleotide microRNA precursor is filed under the name Chelonia mydas (Green sea turtle). RNAcentral's name for it is "mir-16 microRNA precursor family". It matches the Rfam family "mir-16 microRNA precursor family". Rfam says of the family: The hairpin precursors (represented here) are predicted based on base pairing and cross-species conservation -- their extents are not known. In this case the mature sequence is excised from the 5' arm of the hairpin. The record is from Rfam by way of RNAcentral. Lineage: Eukaryota; Metazoa; Chordata; Testudines; Cheloniidae.